Molecule: transfer RNA, 67 nt
Filed under: Marmota monax (woodchuck)
Lineage: Eukaryota; Metazoa; Chordata; Mammalia; Rodentia; Sciuridae
Description: tRNA.Val
Rfam family: tRNA
About the family: Transfer RNA (tRNA) molecules are approximately 80 nucleotides in length. Their secondary structure includes four short double-helical elements and three loops (D, anti-codon, and T loops). Further hydrogen bonds mediate the characteristic L-shaped molecular structure. tRNAs have two regions of fundamental functional importance: the anti-codon, which is responsible for specific mRNA codon recognition, and the 3' end, to which the tRNAs corresponding amino acid is attached (by aminoacyl-tRNA synthetases). tRNAs cope with the degeneracy of the genetic code in two manners: having more than one tRNA (with a specific anti-codon) for a particular amino acid; and 'wobble' base-pairing, i.e. permitting non-standard base-pairing at the 3rd anti-codon position.
Source: RNAcentral
GGUUGUGGCUCAGUGGUAGAGCACAUGUCUCACACGUAUGAGGCACUGGGUUCAAUCCUCAGCACCA